Molecule: unclassified non-coding RNA, 686 nt
Filed under: Hevea brasiliensis (rubber tree)
Lineage: Eukaryota; Viridiplantae; Streptophyta; Magnoliopsida; Malpighiales; Euphorbiaceae
Source: RNAcentral
GUGUGCUCAUACACAUACACAAUCCCUUCGCAAUCCACAGGUUGCGUCCUUUGUGCACUAAAAUACAGAGUCGAGCUUUCAAAGGUUUUGCCGAACAAUAAAGAAAUGCUGAAAAUUUACAGAUCUGAUACAUUCUAUUUCAUCCCUUUACUGACUUGGAUCACACUCAAAACCACUAGUUACCAUUGUCAGGCUCCAAAAAAGCAAGCCAACCAAUUCACUUCAUGAAGCAAUGGAAAUGGAGAGCACUCGAUGCAGUUACAAACUCAGGCACUUGUUGGAACCAAGUCGCAAGCUAAUCGGUUCAUACCUGCUGCGUCAACCAUGCAUACUGGCUACAGGUUGAUUAGUUAAACAACGGAUAGACAAAGGCGAAAUCUCAAAUAUUUAAAAAAUGGCUAGAUUUAUCAGUACAACUUUGCAAAAUUUGAAGACUUAGUCAAGCUGUUUUGUCCAGUCAAAAGGUUCCCAAUCUCGUGCGAAAUUUGCAACUGCCUGCUUUUGCGACUCUACUGACUCGUGCCUUCUGCGACGAAACAUAUCUUCCUCUGGCAAACGUAGCAUGCCUCUUAUUACAUUUAAGCCAAGGCUACUCUUAAACUGUGUCUCGUCGUCAAUCACGUGGACAAAACCCUUGUUUAGGCCAAACUCAACAUGGAAGUAAGGGAAGUCCUUGGGAAUUGAAC